Molecule: ribosomal RNA, 1112 nt
Filed under: human metagenome
Description: bacterial LSU rRNA
Rfam family: Bacterial large subunit ribosomal RNA
Source: RNAcentral
UGGAUUGGUGGUGUAAGCGUGUAGGCCGUGUGGUAGGUAAAUCCGCUGCACAUUAUGGUUGAGGCGUGAUGCGUAGACCCUAUGAGGGUUGAUGGUGGUGAUCCUGUACUGUCGAGAAAAGCCUCUAGCGAGUGUGUGUAUGGCCCGUACCCUAAACCGACACAGGUGGUCAGGUUGAAGAUACUAAGGCGUUCGGGUGAACUGUGGUUAAGGAAUUCGGCAAAAUGCCCCCGUAACUUCGGGAGAAGGGGGGCCCUGUGAUGUGAAGACCCUGUGCGGUUGGAGUGUUGUGGGGUCGCAGAGAAUAGAGGGAAGCGACUGUUUAUCAAAAACACAGGUCCAUGCGAAGACGUUAAGUUGAUGUAUAUGGACUGACGCCUGCCCGGUGCUGGAAGGUUAAGGGGAACUGUGAGUGUAUGCGUAGCGGUGAACUUAAGCCCCAGUAAACGGCGGUGGUAACUAUAACCAUCCUAAGGUAGCGAAAUUCCUUGUCGGGUAAGUUCCGACCUGCACGAAUGGCGUAACGACUUCUCUGCUGUCUCGACCACAGGCCCGGUGAAAUUGCAUUACGAGUAAAGAUGCUCGUUACGCGCGGCAGGACGAAAAGACCCCGGGACCUUCACUAUAGCUUGGUAUUGGUGUUUGGUUCGGUUUGUGUAGGAUAGGUGGGAGACUGUGAAGCUGUCACGCUAGUGGUGGUGGAGUCGUUGUUGAAAUACCACUCUGAUCGGAUUGAGCAUCUAACCUUGGCCCAUGAUCUGGGUUGGGGACAGUGCCUGGUGGGUAGUUUAACUGGGGCGGUUGCCUCCCAAAAUGUAACGGAGGCGCCCAAAGGUUCCCUCAGCCUGGUUGGCAAUCAGGUGGUGAGUGUAAGUGCACAAGGGAGCUUGACUGUGAGACAGACAUGUCGAGCAGGGACGAAAGUCGGGACUAGUGAUCCGGCACCUACUUGUGGAUGUGGUGUCGCUCAACGGAUAAAAGGUACCCCGGGGAUAACAGGCUGAUCUUCCCCAAGAGUCCAUAUCGACGGGAUGGUUUGGCACCUCGAUGUCGGCUCGUCGCAUCCUGGGGCUGGAGUUGGUCCCAAGGGUUGGGCUGUUCGCCCAUUAAAG